This 415-nucleotide ribosomal RNA is filed under the name uncultured eukaryote. Its description in RNAcentral is "bacterial SSU rRNA". It matches the Rfam family "Eukaryotic small subunit ribosomal RNA", at positions 1241 to 1667 of the family's 1831-position model. The record is from RNAcentral.
UGACGGACUGAAGGCUCUUUCUCGAUUCCGUGGAAAGUGGUGCAUGGCCGUUUUUGGUUGGUGGAUCGAUCCGUCUGGUUAAUUCCGUUAACGAACGAGACCUCGGCACUCCGAAUAGCGCGGCGGACGUCGCGGCCUCCGGGCCGUCUUCCGCACGAGCUUCUUAGAGGGACCGUCCCCCGCCGGGGAAGGAGGUGCGAGGCAACGACAGGUCUGUGAUGCCCUUAGAUGUUCUGGGCCGCACGCGCAUUACACUGACGCGUCCAACGGGUGACUCCCGACCCGAAGGGGCCGGGGAAUCCGCAAGGCGCGUCGUGAUGGGGAUUGAACGUUGCAAUUGUUGUUCACGAACGAGGAAUUCCUAGUAGGCGCGGGUCAUCAACCCGCGCCGAUUACGUCCCUGCCCUUUGUACAC